RNAcentral lists this ribosomal RNA (253 nucleotides) under uncultured bacterium. Its description in RNAcentral is "partial 16S ribosomal RNA". It matches the Rfam family "Bacterial small subunit ribosomal RNA", at positions 524 to 776 of the family's 1533-position model. The record is from RNAcentral.
UACGUAGGGGGCAAGCGUUAUCCGGAUUUACUGGGUGUAAAGGGAGCGUAGACGGCGAUGCAAGCCAGAUGUGAAAGCCCGGGGCUCAACCCCGGGACUGUAUUUGGAACUGUAUAGCUAGAGUGUCGGAGAGGCAGGCGGAAUUCCUAGUGUAGCGGUGAAAUGCGUAGAUAUUAGGAGGAACACCAGUGGCGAAGGCGGCCUGCUGGACGAUGACUGACGUUGAGGCUCGAAAGCGUGGGGAGCAAACAGG